UACGGAGGGUGCAAACGUUGCUCGGAAUCAUUGGGCGUAAAGCGCGCGUAGGCGGUCCGGUUAGUCGGGUGUGAAAGCCCUAGGCUUAACCUAGGAAGUGCAUCCGAAACUGCCGGGCUAGAGUACCGGAGAGGGCGACGGAAUUCCCGGUGUAGAGGUGAAAUUCGUAGAUAUCGGGAGGAACACCAGCGGCGAAGGCGGUCGCCUGGACGGAUACUGACGCUGAGGCGCGAAAGCGUGGGGAGCAAACAGG
RNAcentral lists this ribosomal RNA (253 nucleotides) under uncultured bacterium. RNAcentral's name for it is "partial 16S ribosomal RNA". It matches the Rfam family "Bacterial small subunit ribosomal RNA", at positions 524 to 776 of the family's 1533-position model. The record is from RNAcentral.